GGCGGAUGUACAAUGCACAUGUACAUCCUUCCAAAAAAACUAAACCGAUCCUGAAAGGCUGCCACAGGGACACUGUAACUCGUGGGCUCUGUUCCCCUCUGCUGAGCCUCAGGGAUAAAUUUUGUUACAGACAUUG
Molecule: small nucleolar RNA, 136 nt
Organism: Echinops telfairi (small Madagascar hedgehog)
Lineage: Eukaryota; Metazoa; Chordata; Mammalia; Afrosoricida; Tenrecidae
Product: small nucleolar RNA SNORA5
Exons: 1
Source: RefSeq, a predicted model, not a curated record